UGAGGAAUAUUGGUCAAUGGGCGAGAGCCUGAACCAGCCAAGUAGCGUGAAGGAUGACUGCCCUAUGGGUUGUAAACUUCUUUUAUGGGGGAAUAAAGUAUGUCAUGUAUGGUGUAUUGCAUGUACCCCUUGAAUAAGCACCGGCUAACUCCGUGCCAGCAGCCGCGGUAAUACGGAGGAUGCGAGCGUUAUCCGGAUUUAUUGGGUUUAAAGGGUGCGUAGGCGGGACGUCCAGUCAGUCGUGAAAUUUUGAGGCUUAACCUUAAGCUUGCGAUUGAAACUGACGUUCUUGAGUAUGGACAAGGUGGGCGGAAUUCGUGGUGUAGCGGUGAAAUGCUUAGAUAUCACGAAGAACUCCGAUUGCGUAGGCAGCUCACCGGGGCAUAACUGACGCUGAUGCACGAAAGUUCGGUUAUCAAACAGGAUUAGAUACCCUGGUAGUCCGCACUGUAAACGAUGAAUACUCGCCGUCUGCGAUACAGUGUAGGCGGUCAAGCGAAAGCAUUAAGUAUUCCACCUGGGGAGUACGCCGGCAACGGUGAAACUCAAAGGAAUUGACGGGGGCCCGCACAAGCGGAGGAACAUGUGGUUUAAUUCGAUGAUACGCGAGGAACCUUACCCGGGCUUGAAUUGCAGAGGAAUGGAGGUGAAAGCUUUCCGCCGCAAGGUCUCUGUGAAGGUGCUGCAUGGUUGUCGUCAGCUCGUGCCGUGAGGUGUCGGCUUAAGUGCCAUAACGAGCGCAACCCUGAUUGUCAGUUACCAGCAUGUAAUGAUGGGGACUCUGGCAAGACUGCCUUCGUAAGAAGUGAGGAAGGUCAGGAUGACGUCAAAUCAGCACGGCCCUUACGUCCGGGGCUACACACGUGUUACAAUGGGUGGUACAACGAGUUGCUUGCCGGUGACGGUUGGCUAAUCUAUAAAACCACUCUCAGUUCGGAUCGAAGUCUGCAACCCGACUUCGUGAAGCUGGAUUCGCUAGUAAUCGCGCAUCAGCCACGGCGCGGUGAAUACGUUCCCGGGCCUUGUACACACCGCCCGUCAAGCCAUGGGAGUCGGGGGUACCUGAAGCACGUUUCCGUAAUAGGAACGUUCCGGGGUAAAUACCGGUGACCGGGGCU
This 1118-nucleotide ribosomal RNA is filed under the name uncultured bacterium. RNAcentral describes it as "SSU rRNA". It matches the Rfam family "Bacterial small subunit ribosomal RNA", at positions 355 to 1482 of the family's 1533-position model. The record is from RNAcentral.